AGGCAGAGAGUAGCAGUGCGAAAAAGGUACUGUCACCAUGUGACGUCGAGGCUUUGAAGAAAUGCUUGGAGGAGAACAAGGGUGACUACGUCAAAUGUCAAUCGCAGAUCGAAGCCUUCAAGUCUACUUGUUCCCUCAAGAAACCAUCUUCUUCCCUUCAAUCUUCAUCUUAGGAGGAGGAUCUUGGAUCUUCUGUGGGGACUCGGUCCUAUUGUUCGUUUGUCUCAUUUAUUUGUGUAUUAGCGAUUCUCUUUUGCAAGAACGCAGUUUUUGGUACCCAGUUGUUUGUGUAUUGUUGUUGCUGUGAAUUUUCUGUUUCGUAGCCCUGUUUGGAGUUCUUGUUAUUUGCAAUUUUGAUAGAAAUUCUAUUAGUUUCCCUUAA
This 382-nucleotide unclassified non-coding RNA is filed under the name Hevea brasiliensis (rubber tree). The record is from RNAcentral. Lineage: Eukaryota; Viridiplantae; Streptophyta; Magnoliopsida; Malpighiales; Euphorbiaceae.